Molecule: ribosomal RNA, 490 nt
Filed under: uncultured bacterium
Lineage: Bacteria
Description: partial 16S ribosomal RNA
Rfam family: Bacterial small subunit ribosomal RNA
Source: RNAcentral
AUUGAACGCUGGCGGCAGGCCUAACACAUGCAAGUCGAACGGUAACAGGAAGACGCUUGCUUCUUUGCUGACGAGUGGCGGACGGGUGAGUAAUGUCUGUGAAACUGCCUGAUGGAGGGGGAUAACUACUGGAAACGGUAGCUAAUACCGCAUAACGUCGCAAGACCAAAGAGGGGGACCUUCGGGCCCCUUGCCAUCGGAUGUGCCCAGAUGGGAUUAGCUAGUAGGUGGGGUAACGGCUCACCCAGGCGACGAUCCCUAGCUGGUCUGAGAGGAUGACCAGCCACACUGGAACUGAGACACGGUCCAGACUCCUACGGGAGGCAGCAGUGGGGAAUAUUGCACAAUGGGCGCAAGCCUGAUGCAGCCAUGCCGCGUGUAUGAAGAAGGCCUUCGGGUUGUAAAGUACUUUCAGCGGGGAGGAAGGGAGUAAAGUUAAUACCUUUGCUCAUUGACGUUACCCGCAGAAGAAGCACCGGCUAACUCCGUG